UUAUUUUACAAAAGAAAUAAUAGUGUGCAACUUCUAGAUACCUGUAGCCCAUGACCAAAUACCACCAUAUCAGUAUCUCAACCCAGUAACCCCACACUAGGCCAUGAUAAAACCUCAUAGUCCUUGCUAUGUACAAUAUUCUGCACUGUAUAAUCCAGUCUAUAACCUAGAAAUCAUUUGCUCCAACAUCCCUAUCUAGUAUCAGUUGAAUGACUACUUUGUGAAGCUCCAUUCAUGCCAACCAUGGAAUUGCUCCUAGAUUGAGGUUUAUUUUAUUGACAACUUGCUACUCAUUAUAGCUUCUUGUUACUUGCAAAGGACUCUGAGAACUUUAUUACAGUUAGACUUUCAUAUUGUUGUGGUGAAAUCUUGGGGCUAAACAAAUUAUUCCACCAGUUCUUCUGACAUGAGGCAACCCCUGUUACCAUUUGCUAUGCCUGAUUGGCCUUGAGGGUGCCAAGUUCACAGCCUGCUUGUGCUGGUAGUUAAUGUUAAUAAAAGACCCCUUUUUUCCUCUGCUCUGGACUUUCACUCUUCUCUCAAGUCAUCGUGCUGCAUAACUUUCUGGACUACCAAACUCAGUUUAUUUUCUUUUUUUUGUGUGCCAUUUUUAAUGUUCUUCAUAUACAAAGACAUCUGCCUGUGUUUACAAUCUUUAAUCCCAACUGACACAAUGAUCUGAUAGGAUAUAAAAUAAAUACUUAUGAUCUCACGUCCCUUAUUAACAGAAUCACUGGGACACCUUGCAUAUUCCUGGGGGUUUUGCUACAGUAAUGCAAUCCCCUAUUCCAUCCUUAAUAUCAAUCUUUAUGAAACCUGUGAUCUCUAUUCCUAUAUAUCUCUAUUUUCUCUUCUAUAAUCCUAGAGUUCAUGAUGUUUGUAUAUCAUCAUGGCCAAUAAUUUCUAUCCUAGG
This 913-nucleotide long non-coding RNA is filed under the name Homo sapiens (human). Its description in RNAcentral is "HSALNT0191863". Lineage: Eukaryota; Metazoa; Chordata; Mammalia; Primates; Hominidae. The record is from RNAcentral.